ACUGCUGUGAUGAAACAUACAUGCCAUCUGACUUACUACCAUGCUGAUACUCAGAGGCUGUUUCUGAGCUG
Molecule: small nucleolar RNA, 71 nt
Organism: Zootoca vivipara (common lizard)
Lineage: Eukaryota; Metazoa; Chordata; Lepidosauria; Squamata; Lacertidae
Product: small nucleolar RNA SNORD95
Source: RefSeq, a predicted model, not a curated record